This 1241-nucleotide ribosomal RNA is filed under the name Candidatus Phytoplasma pyri. RNAcentral describes it as "bacterial SSU rRNA". It matches the Rfam family "Bacterial small subunit ribosomal RNA", at positions 153 to 1399 of the family's 1533-position model. The record is from RNAcentral. Lineage: Bacteria; Bacillati; Mycoplasmatota; Mollicutes; Acholeplasmatales; Acholeplasmataceae.
GAAACGACUGCUAAGACUGGAUAGGAAGUUUUAAGGCAUCUUGAAACUUUUAAAAGACCCGCAAGGGUAUGCUGAGAGAUGGGCUUGCGGCACAUUAGUUAGUUGGUAAGGUAACGGCUUACCAAGACCAUGAUGUGUAGCUGGACUGAGAGGUUGAACGGCCACAUUGGGACUGAGAUACGGCCCAAACUCCUACGGGAGGCAGCAGUAAGGAAUUUUCGGCAAUGGAGGAAACUCUGACCGAGCAACGCCGCGUGAACGAUGAAGUAUUUAGGUAUGUAAAGUUCUUUUAUUAAAGAAGAAAAAAUGAUGGAAAAAUCAUUCUGACGGUAUUUAAUGAAUAAGCCCCGGCUAACUAUGUGCCAGCAGCUGCGGUAAUACAUGGGGGGCAAGCGUUAUCCGGAUUUAUUGGGCGUAAAGGGUGCGUAGGCGGUUUAAUAAGUCUAUGGUCUAAGUUCAACGCUUAACGUUGUGAUGCUAUAGAAACUGUUUGACUAGAGUUGGAUAGAGGCAAGUGGAAUUCCAUGUGUAGCGGUAAAAUGCGUAAAGAUAUGGAGGAACACCAGUAGCGAAGGCGGCUUGCUGGGUCUUAACUGACGCUGAGGCACGAAAGCGUGGGGAGCAAACAGGAUUAGAUACCCUGGUAGUCCACGCCGUAAACGAUGAGUACUAAGUGUUGGGUUAAACCAGUGCUGAAGUUAACGCAUUAAGUACUCCGCCUGAGUAGUACGUACGCAAGUAUGAAACUUAAAGGAAUUGACGGGACUCCGCACAAGCGGUGGAUCAUGUUGUUUAAUUCGAAGAUACACGAAAAACCUUACCAGGUCUUGACAUACUCUGCAAAGCUAUAGAAAUAUAGUGGAGGUUAUCAGGGAUACAGGUGGUGCAUGGUUGUCGUCAGCUCGUGUCGUGAGAUGUUGGGUUAAGUCCCGCAACGAGCGCAACCCUUAUCGCUAGUUACCAUCAUUUAGUUGGGCACUUUAGUGAGACUGCCAAUGAUAAAUUGGAGGAAGGUGGGGAUUACGUCAAAUCAUCAUGCCCCUUAUGACCUGGGCUACAAACGUGAUACAAUGGCUGUUACAAAGAGUAGCUGAAGCGUGAGUUUUUAGCAAAUCUCAAAAAAACAGUCUCAGUUCGGAUUGAAGUCUGCAACUCGACUUCAUGAAGUCGGAAUCGCUAGUAAUCGCGAAUCAGCAUGUCGUGGUGAAUACGUUCUCGGGGUUUGUACACACCGCCCGUCA